UCCCUGGUGGCUCAGAUGGUAAAGCGUCUGCCUACAAUACAGAAAACCCGGGUUCAGUCCCUGGGUUGGGAA
RNAcentral lists this transfer RNA (72 nucleotides) under Capra hircus (goat). It matches the Rfam family "tRNA". From Rfam's summary of the family: Transfer RNA (tRNA) molecules are approximately 80 nucleotides in length. Their secondary structure includes four short double-helical elements and three loops (D, anti-codon, and T loops). Lineage: Eukaryota; Metazoa; Chordata; Mammalia; Artiodactyla; Bovidae. The record is from Rfam by way of RNAcentral. RNAcentral also lists the same sequence under 1 other name.